Pelobates cultripes (western spadefoot toad) is the source of this 208-nucleotide non-coding RNA. The record is from the annotation of a GenBank genome assembly. Lineage: Eukaryota; Metazoa; Chordata; Amphibia; Anura; Pelobatidae.
CAGAAGGAGGAGAGCGGAAAUAGAAGGUAUGAAAGGUAGAUUCCCUAGAUCAAUCCGCCGCCCGAAGAAUAUCCGACAAAGACGCCCCCGCUAGGAAGGCUGAGGAGGCUGCCGCUCCGCGCACGGAAUGAGCGCCGAAAGAGGGGUCUAUACCGGCGAGAGAGAGGAUCCAGCGAAUCCAUCAAGCUAGCGUGGUGACAGACCGGAG